CCGACAGUCAGAAGAGUGUGGCGACGAACAAAGAAAAUGACGAUCGAAGAAAGAAAAGACGGCAGAAGAAAAAGUAACCGAUGAUGAAGCAAGACUGUUGACGUCGCAGAGAAGAAGAAAACGAUGGUGGAGAAGGAAAGGACGACGGAAGAAGGAGAAGAGGAUGGCGACGGUCACAGAGAAGGAAGCUAAAUCGACCGAGAAAAGAAGAGGAAUGAGGCGACGGCAGUGAUGGAGUCCACUGUCGCUGUUGGAUAUGCAUAGCUGCGUCCUCCGCAGGACAGUGUCGCAGCCGUUUCUUCGCCGGUGGGUGCUGCGAAUGAAGGAUGAAUGGCGUGCUACACUUGAAGAAUAGAGACUACGAGUUGCUGGCAGCGCUGCUGGAGGCGGUGCUCCUGCUACAGUCAUGGCGGUUAAGGAUAGUAUGGCCAUGGGAUGAUAAAGUCAGUUCCGCAUGAACAUAAAAAGAGCGAAUUUUUCCAAAAAGAAAAGAAAUUCAUUGGAAAGAGGGAAGAGGAAAAAAAUGGAAGAAGAAAAGUAGUAGAAGGAGACGCGAAGCAGAGAAUGCAGGGGAGGAGGGAGUUCCUCUACUGCCACAACCGCCUGCUAUUUGCCAUGGUCACCGCUGGAUAGAAAACCCUAAAGAGUUAAGUAUUUCAUCUUCACACCAGUGGAUUUUAGAACUUAUGUAUCACAUUUAUGCUUUUGAUUUUUAUUUUUGAACUGUUUUUACCACUUCAAGAAUGUUGAAAUGCUUUUUGUGGGUGCCAUCUCUGCUGCCGUCUUCAUCUGGUUCUCUAUGUUGGAAAAGGUUUCUAUUCUCAAUUCCUGUCUCUUGAUUAUAGUGUUGGCCAUGGGAUGAUAAAGUCAGUUCCGCAUGAACAUAAAAAGAGGUGUUGAAUUUGUUAGUUUUUUUUCUUUUUUUUUUUUUUUGAGAUCUUGAUUUUGCUUUUGUGAAUUGUGCAAUUGAUUGAUUUUUGUGAUUGCACCUUUUGUUUGUUUUAUGCUAAUGAUUUGAA
Long non-coding RNA from Arachis duranensis, 1019 nucleotides. RefSeq lists it as uncharacterized. The transcript has 3 exons. Lineage: Eukaryota; Viridiplantae; Streptophyta; Magnoliopsida; Fabales; Fabaceae. The record is from RefSeq and is a predicted model, not a curated record.